Molecule: ribosomal RNA, 879 nt
Filed under: uncultured euryarchaeote
Lineage: Archaea; Methanobacteriati; Methanobacteriota
Description: bacterial SSU rRNA
Rfam family: Archaeal small subunit ribosomal RNA
Source: RNAcentral
AGCCACUGCUAUCGGGCUCCGACUAAGCCAUGCGAGUCUAGGGGCUCUUCGGAGCACCGGCGGACUGCUCAGUAACACGUGGACAACCUACCCUCGGGUGGGGGAUAACCUCGGGAAACUGAGGCUAAUACCCCAUAGACCUCGGAUACUGGAAUGUUCCGAGGCUGAAAGCUCCGGCGCCCGAGGAUGGGUCUGCGACCUAUCAGGUAGUUGGUGGUGUAAAGGACCACCAAGCCUACGACGGGUACGGGCCCUGAGAGGGGAAGCCCGGAGAUGGACUCUGAGACACGAGUCCAGGCCCUACGGGGCGCAGCAGGCGCGAAACCUUCGCAAUGUGCGAAAGCGCGACGAGGGGAGCCCGAGUGCCCUUCCUUCGGGGAGGGCUUUUCUGGAGCCUAAAAGGCUCCAGGAAUAAGGGCUGGGCAAGACGGGUGCCAGCCGCCGCGGUAAUACCCGCAGCUCAAGUGGUGGCCGCCUUUAUUGAGCCUAAAGCGUCCGUAGCCGGACCCGUAAAUCCCUGGGUAAAUCCUGGCGCUCAACGUCAGGAAUUCCGGGGAGACUGCGGGCCUUGGGACCGGGAGAGGCUGGAGGUACUCCCGGGGUAGCGGUGAAAUGCUGUAAUCCUGGGGGGACCACCUGUGGCGAAAGCGUCCAGCUUGAACGGCUCCGACGGUGAGGGACGAAGGCCAGGGGAGCGAACCGGAUUAGAUACCCGGGUAGUCCUGGCUGUAAACGCUGCCCGCUUGGUGUUGCCGGUCUUUCGGGGGCCGGCAGUGCCGGAGCGAAGGUGUUAAGCGGGCCGCUUGGGAAGUACGGCCGCAAGGCUGAAACUUAAAGGAAUUGGCGGGAGAGCACUGCAACGGGAGGAGCGUGCGGUUU